Molecule: long non-coding RNA, 770 nt
Organism: Eurytemora carolleeae
Lineage: Eukaryota; Metazoa; Arthropoda; Copepoda; Calanoida; Temoridae
Exons: 2
Source: RefSeq, a predicted model, not a curated record
AACACAGGAACCCCUGAACCGAUUUGCCUUAAAUUUUGAUUUGGGAAAUCGGGAGACCCACGGGAAUGUUCCUAGCUUGUUUGUUUAGAGAUUCUAAGUUUACUGGGUCAACUUCAAAAGCAAAAAUUUAGUUUCCCGGAAUAAAACCGGUCAAGAACGGAUGUUGUGUAAUUUAUUUAAUGGUUCUCAAUAAUUGGUUAAAAUUGUUAAAAUAUUUUAAUUAAUAUUUUGGAAUUUUUUCAUUUUUUAGUUGGAUUUAGUUUGUGAAAUCGGCAGAUCUGAGGUAGAAUUUUAUAUUAAAGGCUCUAUUUAAGGCUUUAUUUACAAGUGAAAUCUUUUUUUUUUUAGAUUAAACAGUGAAAUAGUUAUUAACCUAUUGAUUCCAAAAGCGUCGUUUUUUGAUCCGUUCUAAAACUUUUAAAUUUGGAAGAUUUUCUUGUUUCUUUUAACUUUUUUUCAAUAUUCUUAUUAAACUAAAUUCUUAUUUGAGCAGUACAUCUUAUUGGGUUAUAUUUUAUCUUUUUGUUCUUGCACUUUAUAUACUUUUAAUUUAGCAAGUGUGUUGUUGUUCAUUGUGGUUUGUCGGUUCAGCAGUAUUGCUUAUCCUCAAGCAAACUUAUUGCUCAAGACCCUGCUGGAUCUACCCUAACUCUGCUCAACCCCGAUCAGCGAAACAAUUUUAGAAACCGAUGUGCUGUUAUCAAUCUGUGAACUGAACGGAACCCUUUCUAGGAAGAUUGUAUUUAUCAAUAAAGAUUUACGUUACUUAA